AGUCCAAGUUCCAUCUGAGUUGCA
This 24-nucleotide non-coding RNA is filed under the name Arabidopsis thaliana (thale cress). The record is from RNAcentral. Lineage: Eukaryota; Viridiplantae; Streptophyta; Magnoliopsida; Brassicales; Brassicaceae.